Molecule: long non-coding RNA, 1523 nt
Filed under: Elaeis guineensis (African oil palm)
Lineage: Eukaryota; Viridiplantae; Streptophyta; Magnoliopsida; Arecales; Arecaceae
Description: long non-coding RNA (EGUI_LNC000263)
Source: RNAcentral
AUUGAGAGCAAAGAGGAAUUAUCUCAUGUUCCCCUACAAUAGAUGUAGUUAUGGUGUUCAAAUUUGGUUUCCACAAAUAUGAUGGAAUCAAUACACCUAGAAGAGUUGUAGCAAUGACAUACCCAGCAUAACAGCUUGAAUCAUGGAUGAGUUGAGGUUCUUUCGUGUUGGAGAUGAUGCAUUGAUGUUUAUGCACAAGAAUCAAUCCAUUCUGUGAACUGCAUAAAUUCCUGUUUGUAUAUACAUUAGAUAUACAUCCCAUGUAAUAGUCUGAGAAUUAAUUUUCAUCUUCCCCUCAAAGCAUCUUAUUAUUAGAUUCUCUAUAGAUUUCUUGUCCAUUACUGCUGCUCCUCAAUCGCAUCUCUAUGAGAUUGGCAAUCCCACUUCCCAAUAAUUUAGCUCAUGAGAUCACACUCUUUGCAUGAAUUCCCCAAGGGAACUGCUUUAAUAUUUCUAGAUAAGCUCCAUCAAGCUUUUAUAGAUCAAUGAAAACCUCAUGCUUCAUAAAUUUCCCUUAUCCCUUUGACUAGAUGCACUUGUUCCUCCACCUAUUCCAACAUUCACCACAGGACUCCAAUCAAGUUGCAGUAACUAAGACUUCCUGAGCCUCAUAGUACCGCCCCUCUAAAAUCCCUAGAGGCUAGGCAGAUAACUACUCCCCUUCUUAGACCUCUUAUCUACAAUUGACCAUCCCCACUCACACGAGUGCCCCAGAUACAUCAGCCACUCUAGCUCCUCAAUGCAGAACAUACCAUCCUCUUAUUAAACUACUUAUAUGAUCGAACUGCAUUGCCAUUAACGACAUUAAUUUUAUGAAAUAGUUUCCUUUUUUCCCAUCUUGUUUUAAGUCAGUUCCUUCUUCAUGUUUUUAUACCACCCCUUGUUGCUAUUUUCAUUCUCUCACAUAUAUGCUUAGUAGUUCUCAUUAACAACUUCCUUUUUCUGGGUUUGCACCUUCAACCUUGUCAUAUUAACUCCUGCUUAAGCAAACUUUGCCCUGACGUGUGCUCUCAUCCUUCACCUAUGCUCUCUCCUUUUUUUUCUUCAUCUGUCUCCUAAGGCUGUAACUAACAUUGUUGUGCACCUUGAUAACUCCAUUCAAUGUUCUCUAACUCCCAAAUAUGACUGUUAUUGAUAUAGGUACAACUUGUCACUGUGAUUUAUGUAUGCAAGUUGUUGGCUUGCCUGUGGAUGAUCCUCUCCCACAUCAGAACUUCCAUUUUCCCAAGUUGAGAAAAUGCCCUCCCUCUUAUCACUGCUCUUUUGCCCUCAUGCGCAACUCCAACCGCACCUCGUAGUCACCCUUGUUGCCACCAGUGAUGCUGCCCAUGGCAUGGCGAGCCAAUAUCCUUACCCUUGAGCACCAGUGCUGCUACCAUGAAGCAGCCAAGUCGAUGUCCUUACCCCUACUGCUGUUGGGAUGUUGUCCAUGAAAUAGCUGAGCCAACAUCCUUCUCACUUUUGUUGCCUACAUCCAUGUCUUGCCCACGAGGCCCUAUCUCUUUAUAGAGAGUAGAAGUAAU